This 320-nucleotide ribosomal RNA is filed under the name uncultured Bacteroidales bacterium. Its description in RNAcentral is "partial 16S ribosomal RNA". Lineage: Bacteria; Pseudomonadati; Bacteroidota; Bacteroidia; Bacteroidales. The record is from RNAcentral.
GGAGUUUGGACCGUGUCUCAGUUCCAAUGUGGGGGACCUUCCUCUCAGAACCCCUACCGAUCGUCGCCUUGGUGGGCCGUUACCCCGCCAACAAGCUAAUCGGACGCAUCCCCAUCCCCUACCGAUGAAUCUUUCGUUAUAUUCCCAUGCGGAAUCAUAACUGCACCGGGUAUUAAUCUUACUUUCGCAAGGCUAUCCCCGGGUAGGGGGCAGGUUGGAUACGCGUUACUCACCCGUGCGCCGGUCGCCAUCAGAGGAAGCAAGCUUCCUCCAUGCUGCCCCUCGACUUGCAUGUGUUAAGCCUGUAGCUAGCGUUCAUC